This 425-nucleotide ribosomal RNA is filed under the name uncultured bacterium. Its description in RNAcentral is "bacterial SSU rRNA". It matches the Rfam family "Bacterial small subunit ribosomal RNA", at positions 359 to 776 of the family's 1533-position model. The record is from RNAcentral.
GAAUAUUGGACAAUGGGGGAAACCCUGAUCCAGCGAUGCCGCGUGUGUGAAGAAGGCCUGCGGGUUGUAAAGCACUUUCGGCAGGGAAGAAAAGCGUAGGACGAAUAAUCCUGCGUCUUGACGUCACCUGCAUAAGAAGCACCGGCAAACUCCGUGCCAGCAGCCGCGGUAAUACGGAGGGUGCGAGCGUUAAUCGGAAUUACUGGGCGUAAAGCGCACGUAGGUGGCCAUUUAAGUCGGAUGUGAAAGCCCCGGGCUUAACCUGGGAAUUGCAUUCGAUACUGGGUGGCUAGAGUUCGGAAGAGGGAAGUGGAAUUCCAGGUGUAGCGGUGAAAUGCGUAGAUAUCUGGAGGAACAUCAGUGGCGAAGGCGACUUCCUGGUCCGAAACUGACACUGAGGUGCGAAAGCGUGGGGAGCAAACAGG